AGAAGCCCAUGUUUUAAGAAGUCCACCUUUUAUUUCAAGAUUCAGCACUACCACUGAGGAAGGAGCAUGACAAGCAAAAUUUAUUUGGAUAAUUCAGUAAAUGACAUAUUUGAUUUGGAAGCAUAGUUUGUCAGAAUGCAGGAAACAAGGGAAUGACAAGGCAGCAUCAUGUGCAGGGAGAAGAGGCACAAGAAUGUGGAAUAUGUGACCCAUGUACAUGAAGAUAUUCCUGGUUCACUCAAAAGUACGAUUUUGAGAAGCCCACCUAGAGUCAGAAGGCCCUUGAAAGAUGCAGACCCUCAACUUUGGACUUCCCAGCCUCUAGAACUGUAAG
This 334-nucleotide long non-coding RNA is filed under the name Homo sapiens (human). RNAcentral's name for it is "HSALNT0392707". Lineage: Eukaryota; Metazoa; Chordata; Mammalia; Primates; Hominidae. The record is from RNAcentral.